GUAAACCGGGACAAUACCUUGAAGAAAGGUUCUGUCUUUUUUUGGAACCUAAUUUUUUAGUUUUCUAACUAAUUAAGAGCAAUUAUAAUUUGUUUAAAUACUUAGUUGUCGUCUCCCUCUUGUAGUGGUUUGAUAACUAGGCUACUUUAUGGGUCGAUAUGCACAACACCUAGUUUCCAUUGUUUAUGGCUAGGAUUAUUGGGGUAUGUAAUCCAGCUCGCUGCCCUAGCUAUCUCUCAGUGUUUAGUGAGCUUGAAAUGAUCUGUGUUUGAUGAUUCCAUAAUCUAUAAUUGAGUUUUCAACGUAUGAACCUGUUUCGCGCGAAUUAAGUCGCUAACAAUUAAAAAGGAUCAGACGAUUGUGUAAGGGACAAACCUCUUGAGACAAAGUCCCAAAAAGGGGUGUUCUUUUAUAGGCGAUGAACUUUACAAUUGGAAAUGAAAAACAGCGUGCCUUCAAGGGGCGCAAGCACACGAGUUACAGAAAGAAAAGCGUUUAAAUCUAAAAGCUAAGGAAAUGAAAAUUACAUAUUCUCUGUUCGAGAGUUUUGGAUUCGGUCCCCUGCUUCUACGUCCUUUCUCCCUUUUAUACCUCAUAGACGAUCUCUUUGUGAUUAACUACUCUAAAAACCGCUUGAUCAUCCUAUAACUACCCACUUUCUUUGUAGUGGCCAUUUUGUCAUGAAACUGUCUUUUAACUGCUGCCAUUAUCUUUCAUCGUUCAACCGCUUUCGAUUGAAUUCCUUGAGUCGUGGAACGUGAUAAGGCUACUUUAACAACUGCCUUGAUAACUGCAUUUCUUGAUAACCACGAUGCGUUAUGUUUGUUGAUACCUUGGGCGACUUGAAGGUUUGGGCGAGAAUAGAAUAACAGCUCUGGGCGACCGUAUGACACUCUAUUCGUUCAGAUUCUGGGCGACUUGCAAACUUGGACAAUGGCAUUACCGCAUUCUUGGGCCCCUUAUUUGGGCCUUCACCUUGAUUCGUUCAAUUGGACUUCGUUCUUUGGGCUAUCCGAUUUGGGGAUCCUCCAAUUGGGCUUUACUCCUUGGGCUGUUCGAUUUUUUAUGUGUCAACAAUUACCCCCCAAUAUGGCAGAAUUAAUAAUAAUUAUUAAAUUUUGCCAAAUUCACUUCAUGUUUCCAGCAACGUUCGAAAUUCCCAAGAAUUUCAAUCAUUGUUUCCUUCUAUAACUUGAAAAAGUGCGUCGUUUUGCAAACCCUUAUAAACCCCAAACACGCCAUUUCACUGCUACCAAACCACACCUCAUAUUUUCUACAUCUCUUUCACGAUUCACUGUUCAUCUUUUGCUUCCUUGUUACGUAACCCUGAAAAGCUUCGUUCCUUCUCCAAUGGCUGCUUCACAAUCUCAAGCUAGCGAUUCCUUUAGUUUUGAUGACUUUCAGAAGCUUCUGAGUCGCCCAUAUAUAACCCCAAGUUUUCUCGCGCCCGCCGACGUUGGACGUAAUGAGUUUUACUUGGGUCAUUUCUUCAACAAUCCGGAGGCAGUUGAACAGGCGGCGGUGGGUCAGCGGCGGUGGGUCAGCAGUUUCCUUGCACUCAUGGCCCUCAUUUUCUAAACUCUCUGCCGCUGGGGCCACUUCGCGAAAGAGGUAUUCGCACUUGGCCUAAAUCUGAUGUAGCUUUUCGUAGGUGGCAUGCUCGCCUUGUGGGCCAUGGUCCUACUAAGGCACUUUUUGAUAGCGCUAGGAUUUCUGAUUUGUUAGAAGUCUCUAUUCGCCCCCUACUUUUGAUUCAGCGCUCUUUUCGAUUGCUUUGAGCUUUUGGUCCCCUGAAUAUAACACCUUUAUUUUUCCUCUUGGCCCCAUGUCUAUUACGUUAAGGGAUGUUGGGGCCCUGGUGAAUUUACCAACUUUGGGCGAUACCAUUUUCCCAGGUAUCUUAGUUUCUGGUGGCGCCCCACAGUUUUGCAAAAACUAUAUCGACUCUUAUUCGAGCCUGUAGACUCUCCACAAUCAUUCGAGUGCUGAGCCUACCCAUACUGAGCGAGUGACCUUCCUUUUAGUUUGGCUUUGUAAAUAUGUGUUGUGCGUGCCAAGUAUAAGGCCUUCUCUGAGUUAUUUACCCAUAGCGCAUGAAUUGGCGCGUGACAGGCCUUUGAAUUUAUGUUCUUUGUUUUUGGCUGCCCUUUACAGAGGCAUAGCCUCUUUUCACGCUCAAUUGAAGAAUGGUGCAUCUCCCACUGGCAGUGGACCUCUUUGGUUCACUCAACUAUGGUUGAGAUCCUAUUUUCUAUCGCUUGGUGCUCCAUCCAUUUCUCGUCCUUCUGCUAGCUGUUACGGGCUAGCUAUGAAGCCCUUAACUCCUGUAAAUAUGUCCAGAAGGGACAUUUUUUCAUUCUUUUAUUCUUUAAAUUCAAUCUCUUCCUUUUUUCCUUUUCCUCCUUUUUUGACUCCAAACUAUGUACAUCCUCCUUCCACCAUAGAUAGCGCGAGCACCUCCCUGCUCAUUUGGAUUCAGUUUUUAACCGGGAGGGAGCUAUUUCAUGAUAUUCUAACUGGGACUAAUGCCAAAGCGGGGGUCGAAAUUUAUGCUCCCCAAUUUUUUGCUCGCUAGCUUGGUUUUGGCCAAACUUGGCCUGUUCCUCUUUGCUAUUCGAAGAACUUAAUUGACCGUUUUCAUACCAUUAAUAAGGCGAAAGCAGAGGCUAUAAACGCUCGCAACCUCCAUUUAUCAAGCCACUUUUCCUUAGCCCCUUUUAAUUCUUGUCAUGCCACUCACCCUCUUUUUGAACAAUUCUGGCCAUCGGUGAAGCGCAGAUUAUUUGCGACUGAGGCCAAUCGUGCCUUUCAUUCAUUAGACCAACCAAGCAUUUCUUCUCCUCCUCCUGUUUUGGUCACUCUUUUGUCUGUUCGGAGCCCCUCUCCUUCUCGUUGCGCUAAACAGUCUGCUCAUCCAUCUUCUUCUCUCCCUGCUAAGCCUACUAUGGCCAAGAGCGUUCCAAACCGCAAACGGCCAGCCUCAACAUCUCUCAUUCUGGAGGAUGAUGUUGAUGAUGAUGAUGAUGCCCCUCUUAUCGUCAGGAGGAAGGUAAUUAAAUUGGUCUGUUUACAAAUAUGCUUUUCCACAUUUGAAACUUUUCUGUGUACUGAUGAUCUUUUGGACUUUUCAGAAAAGCUCAGCCUCUCCUUCAAAGGCUUUGGCAUCGACAACUCUUGCUCCAUCAUCCUCUGCUAAGGCUACUUCAUCCAAACCGGUUGAUGAAGGGACCAUACUUAAAGAUACAUCUUCAGUCCCAGAGUCUUCAUCACAACUCAUGGAUGAACCACCUUCCUCUCAGGGCGUCGACCCCCCAAACGUCGAAACAGAAGGUAAUUCAGUUUUUUGAUGUCUUACCUUUGCUCGUGCUAUUGGUCUCUGAUUUGUUGCUCUUGAGCUUUGCAGAUACUCCUAUGAGUCCGCCCGUUGUGGCAACAUCUUCUCGCUCGGACAAGGGGAAGUCCUCACGAAUGGAUGAGUCGUUGGAGGCAAGCUUGGCUGAGGGUGCGCCAUCUUCUACGAUUGUCGACGAGGUAGUUUUUCUUUUUGCUUCAUUUCUAUUUCCACCUUGUUCGUUGUAGUGAGGAUUUUCAAUAUUGGCAAUCUUCUUUGUAGGACGCUGACAGGAUUGUGCGUUCUAUCCAAGACUUGUUUGCUUCCUGGGGGCAAAUUCAGACGUUUCGCCCUGCUCCAUCCGAUCGUCCUGUUACUUCUUCAGAGGAAGACUUGAAGUUCCUGAAGGAAUUGAUAUUUGAGUACGUAUCCUUCAUGGAUAUGGAUAUUGGAAGGGCUAAUGCUGCCAGGCACAAAGAUGAACUUGAACACUUGAGUGCGAAGUUGAAGCAAGCAUUGACGCUUCUGUCGCUCAAUCUUUCUGUCGAUUUUAAAGCGACGUUGAAGGUUAUCCACUCCGAGGUCCUUUCUAUGCUGGCCAAGAAUACUGAACUAAAGGCCAAGCGUACUCAAUAUCUUCGAGCCGUAGCUGAGAAAGAGUCUUUGCGUAUGGAGAUUAACAAGGCUGAAGACGAGUUGAAAGAAAUCUCCUACGAGGUCAUGAUUGAAGACUCUUUGAUGGUUAAUUUGGCUGCUCAGAUGAGGGAACUUCAAGCUAAAAUGGACGACUGCAGGGCGAGGAUGGCUGCUAAAAAGCGUAACGCUUCCCAGGGAAUUGAGCAAACUAAGUCCUUGGUCGAGCAGUACAAGAAGUUGGAGGUUGAUGAUGAUGACGUCGCGGCUGAAUUGAGCAUCACUUCUUCUCGACAGAACGAGAAUUGGGAAAAACUUAGGGAACGAAUUCGUUCUUUAUGGGGUAGACUGUAAUUAAGACAUAGAUGUCUCUUUUCUUUUGUAAUUCAAUUUUUCCUUUUGUAACUUUGUUCAUUAUUAAUGAACAUUAAUUUCUUGUGCAUUUAUUUGUUUAUUUUUUAGUCAUCAAUUCUUUUAGCACUUAACUGCUUUGCACUAAGAAUCUUGUCCAUUCCCUCUUGAUAUUCCCACUACUGUUCCCAAAACUUAGGGCUAUUUAAUUCCGUUUAUUAGACAGAAAUGUGGCUAUUCAUAUUCUGUCUAUUCAUCUUCACCCCCUAUAAAUGCUUCGCAUUUUUCAUCCUCUAUCUUCAUCUCUUCAUUUUCUUCUUCGAAAUCAAUUUGAUGCCAUUCCUUGGCAUUCUGACAAUCAACCUGAUUCAAAAAUGGAUUGUUUAGUCCGUCCGCCUUAUAUUUACCUUGAUGUCACCUUUGGUAUGGGAGGUAUAGGAAAUAUUUUCUGGCCAGCAGCGAAGUUCUUUCCUGCAAAAUUCUUCCCAUCGUCUCUUUGUUCUUCACAAUGAGUCAAUGAUGGGAGGCAAUUUUUGGGCUGCUUGUGGGCCACUUUGCUUGCUGAGAGUGCUUCUCAGCUUGCCUGCUGAGAGUGUUUCUCAGCCUCUUUGCUCGUCAUUGCAGCGAUGCAUUUAGGAAGGUGAUGAGGCCAGUACACCCUCUCACUCGGCAAUCCCACCAUUGCAGCGAUACAUUUAGGAAGGCGGUGGGGCCAGUACACCCUCUUACUCGUCAAUCCCACCAUUGCAGCGAUGCAUUUAGGGAGGCGGUGUGAAGCUUACUCAGCGAUCAACCGGGAGAUCAUCUUACUUUAGUUGUAUUUUGUAGUACGUCCAUUAUUUGUAUCUUUUGUAUUCUUGUAAUGAACGUUUAAUAAUAAAGAACUUUAUUCGAACGUAUUUCGCUCUGUCUUUAUUAUCUUUUGAUCGUGCAGAAUGUUUGGUUAUGUUUUUAUCUGUUCACAUUCCCAUAAAGAAUGAACAUAUUUUUUUCAAAUAUUUGUCGUUAAUGAAUCUUACGUGCUUGGUGCCGUCUAGAUCUUCCAAGUGGUACGCUCCAUUAGGCAACACACUAUUUAUUUUGUAUGGUCCUUCCCAAUUGGGCGACCACUUCCCGUACUUUGGAUCCUUGGUAUCCAAAGGGAGAAUUGUCUUCCAAACUAGUUCAUUCAGGCUGAACGACUUGGCUAUGACUUUUUAUUAUAAAAUUUAGCCAUUCUUUGCUUUUGAACUUGCAACCUAUCUAAGACGUCCAAUUUCAAUUCGUCUAAACUCAAUAAAUUUUGAACUAGUGAUUCGGCAUACUCGUCAUCAUUCAACUUAUGUUGCAAGCACACUCGAAUCGAUUGCACAUUGAUUUCUAUAGGCAAAACAGCCUCCUGUCCAUAAACAAGUUGAAAAGGAGUAACUUUGGUACUUGACCGAUGUGAUGUUCUAUAAGCCCAUAAGUCUUGUUCAAACAUUCGUGCCAAUUUCUGGCGUUUUCAUCUAUCAUCUUUCUGAUGAUAUUUUUUAGAAUCUUAUUAGAAGAUUUCGCUUAUCCGUUGGAUUGAGCGUAGUACGGUGUGGAGUUUACUAAUUUAAUCCCAAAUUCGCUCAAAAAUUUGUUCACUUGAUCCCCAUUCAAAGAUGUUCCGUGAUCUACCAUUAAAGUUUGUGGAAUUCCAAACCUAUAAAUAAUGUGAUCACGAAUGAACUCUAUAACAUUCUUCUGGGUGAUCUCUUUCAAAGGUACCGCCUCUACCCAUUUGGUGAAAUAGUCGGUUGCAACUAUAACAAAAGUAUGUUGUUUGGACGAUGGAGGGUAGAUCUUCCCUAUCAGAUCUAUCGCCCAACCUUUGAACGGCCAAGGUUUAAUAAUAGGUAUCAUCUCUCGUGCUGGCGCCCUUUGUAUUGGACCAUAUUUUUGGCAUGCUAAACAACUUUUUGCAUACUGAACGCAUAGUUCUCCCAUCUUUGGCCAAAAAUAUUCACUCCUAAUAAUUAACCAUCUCAUCCUUUGGCCAGCUUGAUGAGCUCCACAUAUCCCUUCGUGCACUUCAGCCAUGAUUGUCUUGGCUUCUUGCAAACUUACACACUUUAGUAAUACACCAUCAGAGCGUUUCUUAAACAACUCUUCCUCUAUUAGUGUGUAAUUCAGCAAACAUAGCUUCGUUUUCCUACUAAUCCCCCCAUUAGGUUCUUUAAGGAACCUUUCAAUCUCUAUUCUCCAAUCUACUGCAUCUCUAUCUUGUAUACAGUGAAAUUCAAUUUUUCUCGCCCUUCUUUGAGUUACGGGCAAUAUGGUUCCAUACUCACAAGUAGACUUCCAAUUCAAGAUCUUUGAGUACCCUGAAGCCAUUUGGGCUAACUCAUUCGCCACGUCGUUAUAUAUCCUAUUAACGCAUUGAAGUUCUACUUGAUCGAAUUCCUCUAAUAAUUCUUAGGCGAUUUCAUAUUGACUUAUAAUGGAAUCACUUUGGCAUUUAAAAUCACCGAUCAAUUGAUGUAUCACUAAUUGAGAAUCGCCCUUAACGAUCACAUUUCUUACUCCCAUAUCUAUCAUUAGUUCUAGGCCUACAAUUAAGGCUUUAUAUUCGGCCUGAUUGUUGGUGCACAUUCUGUCUAAGGUGAAUGCAAACUUGUAGCAAAUCCCUAAAGGAUUAAUCAAUGCUACCCCUACUCCUGCACCUUUAGAGGUUUUUGACCCAUCGAAAUACAACACCCAAGGUUUUAAUUCGAACGAAUUGAUUUCUAAUUCGAUUUCUUCAGGCAUGUCAAGGCAUGGAUGAUCGGCUAGAAAGUUAGCCAAAGCCUGAUUUUUUACUGCCUUUUGAGGUAUAUAUUGUAUUCCGAACUCUGAUAAAGCUAGUGUCCAAAGGCCUACCCUUUGGUGUAAAAUAGGGCGCGAGAACAUAUACUUGACUAAAUUUACUUUAGAAAUUAAAUAAACGGUUACGGGCCGUAAGUAAGCCCUUAGUUUUGUACAUGUGAAAUAUAAUGUAAGACAUAAUUUUUCAACAGCAGAGUAAUUACAUUCACAUUUCGUUAACCGUCUACUUAAAUAGUAAAUUGCCCUUUCUUCAUUAACUUGGUCUUCCUGCGUGACCAUUCCAGCUAUUGAUUCUUUUUCAGCCGACACGUACACUUUCAUCGACCGUCCUUGGAUUGAUGACACCAACACUGGCGGACUUGAUAGAUAUAUCUUCAGGCUUUCAAAAGCCUUUUGAUGUUCUUCUUUCCAGACGAAUUCGUCCUGAUUUUUCAGCUUUAAUAGCGACGAAAAAACUUUAGUUCGCCCUGCACAGUUAGAAAUAAAGCGUCUUAGAAAAUUUACUUGGCCUAGAAACCUUUGCAACUCCUUUUUGUUGUUAGGUGGUUUGGCUUCUAAGAUAGCCUUCGCUUUAUUUUUAUCAAGUUCAAUCCCUCUCUUAUGUACUAAAAAACCAAGAAAGUUCCCUGCGUUAACACCAAAUGCACACUUCAAGGGAUUCAACUUUAGCUUAUAUUGCCUCAUUCGUUCAAACGAACAUCUUAUCUGUUCGAAAUGGUCAUCUUCUUUAAUGGACUUGACCACUAUAUCAUCCACAUACACCUCAACAAACUUGCCUAUCAUGUCAUGAAAGAUUAAAUUCAUAGCCCUUUGAUAAGUUGCCCCUACAUUUUUUAGGCCAAAAGGCAUAACCACCCAUUCAAAACAUCCUAGAGACCCAGGGCAUCUAAAGGCAGUUUUGUGUAUGUCUUCUUCAGCUAUAUAGAUUUGAUUGUAUCCUGAAUACCCAUCCAUGAAAGAAUACAUGACAUGUCCGGCAGUUGAAUCUACUAAGGAAUCCACCGUGGGCAUUGGAUACUCAUCUUUGGGUGUAGCUAUGUUUAAAUUUCUAAAGUCUAUACACACCCUUAGUUUAUCAUUCUUUUUUAGUACUGGCACAAUAUUCGACAACCAUUCAAUAUAUCUGGCUGUUCUUAUAAAACCUGCUUUCAAUAAUCGCUCUAUCUCUUUCUUAAUUUCAGGGAGUACAUUAGGAACAAAACGCCUACGAGGUUGCCUAUGAGGUUUAAAAUUAGGCUUAGUUGGUAAUCUAUGUUCCACUAAGUCUCUAUCUAAAUCAGGCAUUUGUUCGUAUUCCCAAGCAAAACAAUCUUUGUACUCUUUUAACAAAGCGAUUAAUUUGUUACUAACCUCUUGGUCGAGCAUCUGGCUGAUGAACGUUGGGUGAUCUUCUCCUUCAUCGCCAAUAUUUACUUUGAUCAGAGGGUCUUGCGCUUGAGCGUAUCCAGGUUUGGCAAUCCGCAUCACUUCGUCGUCCAGUUCUCUUGUAAGUAUUUCCUCUUCCAAACAGUCCACUUUGUUGACUUCUCGGCCAAGGCUUUGCUCUAACUCGAAUACUGCCAACUUGUCCUUCAGCGCUUUUAGGGCAGUCUCUUCCUUCGCUUUAUCAUUGCAUUCCUUAUUGAAAGCCAUCAAUCUGGUUUGAAGGCCUGAAUAUCGGCCAUUUGCUUUUGUAACUCAGGAUCCAUUCAAGAUUCCUUGAUUAUUCUUUUUGCUAGUCACUGGCUCUUCUAGGGCCACUAUAUUUGGCCUCAUCUGUUUGAACAUCUCAGUGAGUGCGUCCACUGAGAAUGGUUCUUCGCUUUGCACGACAACUUGAGUUUCCUCCCCUUCUUGUACUACUCUGACAGGUCCAUAGUUUCCUUCGUACAUGAAUUUUUCCACCGAGUUCGCUUCCGCGACAAAAGGCCUAUGAUCGGCCUGUACCACCUCUGCUUCGCCUUUGUCAUUCCAAAAAAUCAGGCAUUGAUGGAGCGACGAGGGUAUACAACGACUUCCGUGUAUCCAAUCUCUUCCUAGGAGCACAUUGUAACUAGUAGGACCAUCUAUUACAAAGAAGACAGUGGUCCUAGUAGUCGUACCUAUAGUUAUGUCUAAAGGCAUAACUCCCUUAGCUGAAGUUGCUCCUCCAUUGAAGCUAGUAAGGAUGACUUCUGUAGGAAUCAUAUCACCCUCUGUCUUUGCGAACUUUCUCAUCAUCCUGGAUGGAAUGGUGUUUAUAGACGCUCCAUAUCGACAAACACCUUUGCCACUGGGACGCCGUUAACUAGAGCUUUAACGUAUAAUGGCCUCAGGUGUUUUGUCAAUUUCAUGGCUGGCCGUUUAAAAACAACCUUUUCGGCAGCCUCUAUUUCUACCUCUUGCUUGUUUUCUGUCGAAUUAUCCCCUUGUGAUAGGUCGACGUGUAGUAUGUCACGCUGAUCCUCUGUCUCUUGAAUUUCCUUCUUACUUUUUUCUAAUGCUUUCUCAUCAGUUAUCCAACCUGUGGGAGGGGGCAUUAUUCUUGGAGGUGGCCCAUACUUCUCAGAGCGAGGCACUCACUUCUUCUUUUUGGGUGUCCCGUACGGUACGUAGAAUUCGAAAGGACGCCCAGAUAGCUCCCCCAACAAGUCUACUUCGCGAACUCCCUCUUGAUGUAGUUGCUUAAACAGAGUGUUGCGCGAUACUCCUCUCCUUUUCCUUUCUGCUUCUAGGUCGAUUUCCUCUUCAAUGUCUGUCAUCCCAUCGUCCUCUUCAUCGUUGUAGGCCUCUCCAGAAGUCUGGCCUUCUUCACAUACCAGCACGCAGGCUUCUCCUUCGUUGUCCUCCCUCUCUUCUUCUUCUUCCUUAUUCUUGAAUUCAUUGGCCAGUAGGUAAUUAUUGGCCACGAUAGGAGGUAACGUACCGAAUUGGAUAGCAAGGGGCUGAUCUGGUUCUUCUUCAUCCCUUUUGUCCCUCUCAAACCUUGAUCUCCCAGAAGAGGUUUCUGGCAGUUCCUUCAUUGAUUCGUCUGUACCAAUCUCUUUACUUCCUUUGAGGACGUUUUGAUUGGCUACCUUGAGUAGUAGAGGCGCUUUGGGAUGUGGCAUUCCUUGUUGCUGCCUCAUCAUCCGUCCGUAGUUUCGUUGGAAACGCUUUUGUUGGGUCCUAGUCAUCUCAUCGAAGGAUAUUGCCCUUCCUGCACUGUACUGGAAUGAAUGCCAUACAUUUGGCCUGCGAGGUUGCGGCCUAAAUGUUCUUCCAGUAUCUGCUGGUCUGAACUGCCUUUCAAAAGGCGGUCCUCUAUAGAAUGAUGUACCUCGCCCUCUACCAGGCUGAAUGUUUGGGAAGAAGGCAGGGCGAUGAGGAUGUUGUCAUGUUCCUGGUUUCUCCGUGACUCCAUUUACUUCCCUUUUACACCUUGCACACAGGACGUUUUCGUCCUUUUUUGGUUCUUUCCCUUUGAUUCGUUCGAAGACACUGGGAUGUGUUUUAGUAUCCUCUUCUCCGUCAUCUAUGACCAACUUGAAUUUUGGCAACUUGUUCUUGAAUCCAGACGUUACCAUGUUUACCCCAAGUGGCUGUGGGAAAGGAUUCUCAUCCACUGCCAUCUUUUUCUUAUCAUCGAACGUAAUUCGUCUUGAUUCAAUAGCAUCCUGCAAUACGUGACGGAAAAUCAAGCAAUUGUUAGUCAAAUGUGACCAUGCAUUAUGCCACUUACAAUAUUUUUUACCCUUUAUUUGUUCAGGGUUUGGCAAUUUGUGUUUAUCGCUCAACUUUAUUUGCUUAUCCCUAUAUAAUUUAUCGAAUAUAAGGUCAGCUUUGGUCACAUCGAACGAGAACGUUCUAGCCUUUAUGUUUCCAUCCUUUAUGGGCUCAUCUUUACCCGAUGGUCUAGGCUUGGCCAUUAUGGGACAAGUAUAUGUAUCUCCUUUUACUAAUUCGGCCAAACACAUUUCGGCCUGAUCGCAUGAUUCGUCGUCGAUGGUAUGAACGUCAAAAUUUGGGUCUCUGUAAUAAGUCCCUUUACUAGAAUUUUUCAUUUGUUCUUCUUCUCUUAUCAGUCGUUCAUACCUAAUCACAUUCGCACUCAACUGGAAAAGGUCAGGAAAUUCCUUGUCCUGGAACUUCUUUUUUAAAUCAAAGCUCAAACAGCCUUGUGCGAUUUUGACAAAUUCUUUUUCGGGCAGAGGUACAAAACACUUGCUUCUUGCUAUUUUGAACCUUUGGAGAAAACUUUCUACCCAUUCAUUUGGCAUUUGACGUAGAUUUGCCAAAUCAGCCAAAGUGACUUCAGACUCAGUUUUAUAAAACUGAGCGUGAAACAACUGUUCCAGUUGUUGCCAUGUUUGAACAGAGUUCGCUAGCAAGUUGAUGAACCAGGAGAAAGCUACUCCUGUUAACGAACUAGGGAAAAGUCUCAUUUUAUGGUAAUCGGUUACAUCACCACUUUGCAACGUGAAUCGCCCUAUGUGUUCUAGAGUAGACACCUCUCCUAAACCGAUAAACAGUGAGAAUUCUGGCACUUUGUACCCUCUAGGCCAUGGAUAUGCUUGGUCUACCCAAUCAGGAUAUGGUUUUGUGUACGUCGGCCUAAUGACAGGACGCACUCCAAAAGCCAUCUGAUCCUGCACGAUUUCCAUAAUCUGGUUCCUCAGCAUGACAUUGGGAUCAUAUGGAAUUCCUACAGGUUGAUUAACCGGUUGAUUUACAUGAGGUCUAAUGUUUGGUCCUUGAUUGGCAACAAAAUUACCAUAAUUAGGGCCAUUACCAUUAGCCUGGACAUCUGUUCCCUCAUUACCACGUGGAAUAUUCUGUCCAUUAUUUAAGACAUUGUCUCUCACAUUUGGAUUACCCCCCAAGUUAGGCAUGCCACUACCAUUAUUUUGAUUUGGCACUGUAGUAUCCCCUUGGUUUGAAGUAGAGGGACCAGAAAGCGAUUCUACCCCUUGAUUCGGAUAUAGGACAGAGGGAUUAUGUCCCACAAUUGUCCUGGUUUGAAAGUGGUUUGUAAGAGGUAUAGCCAGCUGACAUAUUUGGCCUACUAACUUAUUCAUUGUUUCGUUUAACGUCUUUAGUUUGGCCAUAUUGUCAUAGUGUGCAUUUCCAUUUUGUGUAAAUCUUUCCAUAUUAUGAAUACUUCGAAAAUUUACUUGUUCGACGACGUCUUGCGUGAGUUUUCCAAGCAAUGCACGCAUGGUUCGAGGACUCAACUCCGUCAUUGGUUCGUAACGACUGUUACUGCUCUGAUUUUGUCCAUCUGUUCAUGGAGAGGCAUGCUGCUCCUCAUAUCGCUCGAUCACAGACUGGAUUCCUCCCUGACUUGCUCCUUCCUUGUCGAAUCUCUGAGGCAUAUUGUUUCACCUUUUGUACUUUCAACACCUAACACCACUGUCCCACCGAGAGUGCCAAAUUGUUUCGCGCGGGUUAAGUCGCUAACAAUUAAAAAGGAUCAGACGAUUGUGUAAGGGACAAACCUCUUGAGACAAAGUCCCAAAAAUGGGUGUUCUUUUAUUGGCGAUGAACUUUACAAUUGGGAAUGAAAAACAACGUGCCUCCAAGGGGCGCAAGCACACGAGUUACAGAAAGAAAAGCGUUUAAGUCUAAAAGCUAAGGAAAUGAAAAUUACAUAUUCUCUGUUCGAGAGUUUUGGAUUCGGUCCCUUGCUUCUACGUCCUUUCUCCCUUUUAUACCUCAUAGACGAUCUCUUUGUGAUUAACUACUCUAAAAAUCGCUUGAUCAUCCUAUAACUAUCCACUUUCUUUGUAGUGGCCAUUUUGUCAUGAAACUGCCUUUUAACUGCUGCCAUUAUCUUUCAUCGCUCAACCGCUUUCGAUUGAAUUCUUUGAGUCGUGGAACGUGAUAAGGCUACUUUAACAACUGUCUUGAUAACUGCAUUUCUUGAUAACCACGAUGCGUUAUGUUUGUUGAUACCUUGGGCGACUUGAAGGUUUGGGCGAGAAUAGAAUAAUAGCUCUGGGCGACCGUAUGAUACUCUAUUCGUUCAGAUUCUGGGCGACUUGCAAACUUAGGCGAUGGCAUUACCGCAUUCUUGGGCCCCUUAUUUGGGCCUUCACCUUGAUUCGUUCGAUUGGACUUCGUUCUUUGGGCUAUCCGAUUUGGGGAUCCUCCAAUUGGGCUUUACUCCUUGGGCUGUUCGAUUUGGGCUGAAUUUUUUAUGUGUCAACAGAACCAAUUCUUUGUAAUCAAACGAUCUCUUUCUAGUUGCUUUCUAAUUUAAAUUCUCUUAUGAUAUGGGGUUCUGCUUAUGACAGAAACUUUCUUUUCUCAUUUUUCCACCAAUUAUUUCUGGAGUACGUGGCUUUUUCUUUGCUUUUAACAUCGGAUACAGCACUUAAACUUUGAGCUAAUUGUGAUUUUUCAUCAGGAGAUUCCUGUGUAGCACUUGGAAAUGAAGGAGAUGCCAGAGCUGCUUUUUGAAGAUCCAAUUUUCUAGUUGCUACUCUUCACCUUCUUGGGAAUCUCCUAAAUCGCCAAAACUACCAUUUAUGAACGGGAUGGAUGAUAACUUUUCUGAUUUCGUGUUGAUAAAGACUCCUAAACUGCUGAAUCCUUGAAGGUACCAUUUGCUGACUUGCUGGUGAUAAUCCUUACUUCUUUAGUACUAGCUCAACAAUUAUCUGGUGAUCUCUUAUGUUAUUCUGCACCCGGAUGGAAUUAGGCUUUUUCCAUUUGGUCGACUAAGUAUACUUUUACGAUAAUGUUUUGGUCGAGACAGAUUUUCGUGGUUAUUUGUAACUGAUUUUAUGGUCGACUAAGUAUACUUUUAUGAACUUGUAAUGUUGUGAAUACGACUGUCAAAAGGAAAAAGAUUGAAACCUCCAUCACAAAUAUGAUGUCUUAACAAAACCAAAGUUUUCUCUUGACGAGGUUCAUGAUUCUUAAUAUGAUCUUCGGGGCCGUUUGAGCCCCAUUAUUUGUAAAUUAUAAUGAAAUGAAU
RNAcentral lists this long non-coding RNA (14045 nucleotides) under Olea europaea (common olive). RNAcentral's name for it is "long non-coding RNA (OEUR_LNC015307)". The record is from RNAcentral. Lineage: Eukaryota; Viridiplantae; Streptophyta; Magnoliopsida; Lamiales; Oleaceae.